RNAcentral lists this ribosomal RNA (364 nucleotides) under Zeldia punctata. Its description in RNAcentral is "SSU rRNA". It matches the Rfam family "Eukaryotic small subunit ribosomal RNA", at positions 1276 to 1664 of the family's 1831-position model. The record is from RNAcentral. Lineage: Eukaryota; Metazoa; Nematoda; Chromadorea; Rhabditida; Cephalobidae.
GGUGGUGCAUGGCCGUUCUUAGUUCGUGGAUCGAUUUGUCUGGUUUAUUCCGAUAACGAGCGAGACUCUAGCCUACUAAAUAGUAACGAGAUUAUCAUUGUCUCAGUUGCUUCUUAGAGGGAUUUUCGGUGUUUAGCCGCACGAGAUUGAGCAAUAACAGGUCUGUGAUGCCCUUAGAUGUCCGGGGCUGCACGCGCGCUACACUGGCGAAAUCAGCGUGCUGUAUCCAUUCUCGAAAGGGAUUGGUAAACCCAUGAAAAUUUGCCGUGCUUGGGAUCGGAAAUUGCAAUUAUUUUCCGUGAACGAGGAAUUCCAAGUAAGUGCGAGUCAUCAACUCGCUCUGAUUACGUCCCUGCCCUUUGUA